CUGUAUCUAAACUAUGUUAAAGAUACAUGGAAAAGAGAUGACAUCACAGAGCUGAUUUUGUUCUUUUAGCCUUCUGUUCAGCUGAAGUUGAGCAGCGGUAAUGAGUCAUGCUGUCUUGUGACCAGCCGGGCACUUUUCCAAUCAGAGAGACUGUUAAGAUCUCUGACAACAGAACCUGUCAUUGUUUGAAGAGUAGAUAUCAACGGUGACCUGUAUACUUGGUGAUCCAGGCUUCUGUGAGUAACAAAAUGCGUUCCCAUCCCUGCUGAAUGACAGAACACCAGUAAUGAGGUAGCACUUAGUAAAGCUGACUCAUUUCCUCGUUUAUAGAUGAAGGAGAUUGUCCAAGAAAUAAUCUCCCAGAUCCAGCUUGUUUGCCCGGAGGAAAGAAUUCAUUGAACAGCCACAGACUACAUUCCAGAACGUUAGCCAAGCACUUUGCAACAGGGUACCAUUGGGUCAUAGCAAGGCCUGCCACCACUCCUGGCAGAGCGACUCCAAAUACCUGCCCAUGGGACAGAGGUCUGGUUGCAGGAGCACUCUCGGACUUUCUUGUCAACGCGCUCGCCCACACUAGCAGCUCCCACGUCUGCGGCUUGACAAAGAGCUGCUCUUCCUCAGCUGUCAGCAUCUGUCUGAGCGGAACCACUGCGUUUCCCGGAGGAAAUCCGGCUGCAGCCGCCCCUGCGCACAGGCUUGCCCUUCGCCUCUCCCUGCUGGCCUGGCGGCGGGCAUUCUGCUCCCAUUCUGCCCCCAGGCUCCCAGGCGGGGAUUUCUUCCCGCCCUUCUCCCAUCCCCACGCCCUCCCCCAGUCUCACUGACCACUGCUGUCAACUGGCGCCUGCCUUCUUGCAGACAGGAGAGGGUCUGCUGUCAUGUUCCUGAUGCUGUGAGGAGAGCCCUGGGUGACAAUUUGGCACUUCUGCCCCGUGUUCAGAAUUUCAGCGAGUGGUGACCCUCGCUUUAGGACCAAGCAUCCCCUCCAGCCUGACAAUUUAGAGCAGCGUGCACAGAUGCUGUGUCCAUCUGCAUUAAUGUCAUUGGACAGGAGUCAUUUCAGCCUCCGCCGAGUCUUUCAGUUUUUCACUUUUUGGGAAAUGCACUAUUAAUACAAUUUGUCACUAUUCUCUAAGGAGCACUUAUUAUGCUGGGAUUUUAGUAUGUUUUACCAAUUUAGUUGUCAU
Long non-coding RNA from Balaenoptera acutorostrata (minke whale), 1184 nucleotides. RefSeq lists it as uncharacterized. The transcript has 3 exons. NCBI's taxonomy places the organism in Eukaryota, Metazoa, Chordata, Mammalia, Artiodactyla, Balaenopteridae. The record is from RefSeq and is a predicted model, not a curated record.